This 630-nucleotide ribosomal RNA is filed under the name uncultured bacterium. RNAcentral's name for it is "bacterial SSU rRNA". It matches the Rfam family "Bacterial small subunit ribosomal RNA", at positions 56 to 733 of the family's 1533-position model. The record is from RNAcentral.
UGCAGUCGAACGAAGGCUUCGGCCUUAGUGGCGCACGGGUGCGUAACGCGUGGGAAUCUGCCCUUGGGUUCGGAAUAACAGCGAGAAAUUGCUGCUAAUACCGGAUGAUGUCGCGAGACCAAAGAUUUAUCGCCUGAGGAUGAGCCCGCGUUGGAUUAGGUAGUUGGUGGGGUAAAGGCCUACCAAGCCGACGAUCCAUAGCUGGUCUGAGAGGAUGAUCAGCCACACUGGGACUGAGACACGGCCCAGACUCCUACGGGAGGCAGCAGUGGGGAAUAUUGGACAAUGGGCGAAAGCCUGAUCCAGCAAUGCCGCGUGAGUGAUGAAGGCCUUAGGGUUGUAAAGCUCUUUUACCCGGGAUGAUAAUGACAGUACCGGGAGAAUAAGCUCCGGCUAACUCCGUGCCAGCAGCCGCGGUAAUACGGAGGGAGCUAGCGUUGUUCGGAAUUACUGGGCGUAAAGCGCACGUAGGCGGCUUUGUAAGUCAGGGGUGAAAGCCUGGAGCUCAACUCCAGAACUGCCUUUGAGACUGCAUCGCUUGAAUCCGGGAGAGGUGAGUGGAAUUCCGAGUGUAGAGGUGAAAUUCGUAGAUAUUCGGAAGAACACCAGUGGCGAAGGCGGCUCACUGGA